GACGAACGCUGGCGGCGUGCUUAACACAUGCAAGUCGAACGGAAAGGCCCUGCUUUUGUGGGGUGCUCGAGUGGCGAACGGGUGAGUAACACGUGAGUAACCUGCCCUUGACUUUGGGAUAACUUCAGGAAACUGGGGCUAAUACCGGAUAGGAGCUCCUGCUGCAUGGUGGGGGUUGGAAAGUUUCGGCGGUUGGGGAUGGACUCGCGGCUUAUCAGCUUGUUGGUGGGGUAGUGGCUUACCAAGGCUUUGACGGGUAGCCGGCCUGAGAGGGUGACCGGCCACAUUGGGACUGAGAUGCGGCCCAGGCUCCUACGGGAGGCAGCAGUGGGGAAUAUUGCACAAUGGGCGGAAGCCUGAUGCAGCAACGCCGCGUGCGGGAUGACGGCCUUCGGGUUGUAAACCGCUUUCGCCUGUGACGAAGCGUGAGUGACGGUAAUGGGUAAAGAAGCACCGGCUAACUACG
RNAcentral lists this ribosomal RNA (466 nucleotides) under uncultured bacterium. RNAcentral's name for it is "partial 16S ribosomal RNA". It matches the Rfam family "Bacterial small subunit ribosomal RNA", at positions 28 to 505 of the family's 1533-position model. The record is from RNAcentral.